GACGAACGCUGGCGGCGUGCUUAACAUAUGCAAGUCGAACGGUAAGGCCCUUCGGGGUACACGAGUGGCGAACGGGUGAGUAACACGUGGGUGAUCUGCCCUGCACUUCGGGAUAAGCCUGGGAAACUGGGUCUAAUACCGGAUAGGACUCCGGACUGCAUGGUCUGGGGUGGAAAGCUUUUGCGGUGUGGGAUGGGCCCGCGGCCUAUCAGCUUGUUGGUGGGGUGAUGGCCUACCAAGGCGACGACGGGUAGCCGGCCUGAGAGGGUGACCGGCCACACUGGGACUGAGAUACGGCCCAGACUCCUACGGGAGGCCGCAGUGGGGAAUAUUGCACAAUGGGCGCAAGCCUGAUGCAGCGACGCCGCGUGAGGGAUGACGGCCUUCGGGUUGUAAACCUCUUUCAGCAUCGACGAAGCGAAAGUGACGGUAGGUGCAGAAGAAGGACCGGCCAACUACGUGCCAGCCGCCGCGGUAA
Molecule: ribosomal RNA, 478 nt
Filed under: uncultured bacterium
Lineage: Bacteria
Description: partial 16S ribosomal RNA
Rfam family: Bacterial small subunit ribosomal RNA
Source: RNAcentral